AGCGAACGCUGGCGGCAGGCUUAACACAUGCAAGUCGAACGCCCCGCAAGGGGAGUGGCAGACGGGUGAGUAACACGUGGGAACGGACCCGUUGGUUCGGAAUAAGCUGGGGAAACUCACGCUAAUACCGGAGAAGCCCUUAUGGGGAAAGGUUUACUGCCGAAGGAGCGGCCCGCGUCUGAUGAGCUAGUUGGUGAGGUAACGACUCACCAAGGCGACGAUCAGUAGCUGGUCUGAGAGGAUGACCGGCCACACUGGGACUGAGACACGGCCCAGACUCCUACGGGAGGCAGCAGUGGGGAAUAUUGGACAAUGGGGGCAACCCUGAUCCAGCCAUGCCGCGCGAGUGAUGAAGGCCUUAGGGUUGUAAAGCUCUUUUACCCGGGACGAUAAUGACUGUACCGGGAGAAUAAGCCCCGGCUAACUUCGUGCCAGCCGCCGCGGUAA
Molecule: ribosomal RNA, 447 nt
Filed under: uncultured bacterium
Lineage: Bacteria
Description: partial 16S ribosomal RNA
Rfam family: Bacterial small subunit ribosomal RNA
Source: RNAcentral